RNAcentral lists this small RNA (2594 nucleotides) under Pan troglodytes (chimpanzee). RNAcentral describes it as "processed transcript". The record is from RNAcentral. Lineage: Eukaryota; Metazoa; Chordata; Mammalia; Primates; Hominidae.
CGAGUCGGAGCCGGAGCCUGAGCCGCGCGCUGUGUCUCUGCUGCGUCCGCCGAGGCCCCCGAGUGUCAGGGACAAAAGCCUCCGCCUGCUCCCGCAGCCGGGGCUCAUCUGCCGCCGCCGCCGCGCUGAGGAGAGUUCGCCGCCGUCGCCGCCCGUGAGGAUCCGAGAGCCAUGUCGGCCAGCAGCCUCUUGGAGCAGGUACAGGCCCGGCCCGCAUGCCUCGGCCAUUGUGUGAGGCGAGAAGGAGCCCGACUAGGCCCGGGCCCGCCGCCCCCGGGCAGGCCGAGCCGAGCCGAGGCGUCGUCUCUUGCGGGCCAGGUUUCGGGCCUCUCAGGCCGGCCGCGCCCGGCGCCUCUCCCUCAGCCUGCUCUUCCCGCUUCUCCUCCGGCCUCGGAUCCCACGGGCCGGGCCGCGCCGCGUUCCCUUCUUUCGGCGGGCCUCGUUUUCCUUCCUUGUUUCCUUCCCCUGCCUUAAAGCCCUGGGUUCCUCGCGUCGCCAGUGGCGCGUCUGCCGCGUUUUCUCCCCUGCCCCACGGGCCUGGCGCUUUCCCCCGCCUCCCAUUUUCAGCCUCUUCCUCACUACCAUUCCUGACGCCUCCCCUCGGGCCUGCUCCUUUAUUCUCCCUUCGGGCCCUGCCUUAAUUUGUUCUUCCUUUUCCAUUUCUCCUUUGGACAACUUGCUGCUCGGCGACGUUUCCUUCCCCUGCAGAGACCAAAAGGUCAAGGAAACAAAGUACAAAAUGGAUCUGUACAUCAAAAGGAUGGAUUAAACGAUGAUGAUUUUGAACCUUACUUGAGUCCACAGGCAAGGCCCAAUAAUGCAUAUACUGCCAUGUCAGAUUCCUACUUACCCAGUUACUACAGUCCCUCCAUUGGCUUCUCCUAUUCUUUGGGUGAAGCUGCUUGGUCUACGGGGGGUGACACAGCCAUGCCCUACUUAACUUCUUAUGGACAGCUGAGCAACGGAGAGCCCCACUUCCUACCAGAUGCAAUGUUUGGGCAACCAGGAGCCCUAGGUAGCACUCCAUUUCUUGGUCAGCAUGGUUUUAAUUUCUUUCCCAGUGGGAUUGACUUCUCAGCAUGGGGAAAUAACAGUUCUCAGGGACAGUCUACUCAGAGCUCUGGAUAUAGUAGCAAUUAUGCUUAUGCACCUAGCUCCUUAGGUGGAGCCAUGAUUGAUGGACAGUCAGCUUUUGCCAAUGAGACCCUCAAUAAGGCUCCUGGCAUGAAUACUAUAGACCAAGGGAUGGCAGCACUGAAGUUGGGUAGCACAGAAGUUGCAAGCAAUGUUCCAAAAGUUGUAGGUUCUGCUGUUGGUAGCGGGUCCAUUACUAGUAACAUCGUGGCUUCCAAUAGUUUGCCUCCAGCCACCAUUGCUCCUCCAAAACCAGCAUCUUGGGCUGAUAUUGCUAGCAAGCCUGCAAAACAGCAACCUAAACUGAAGACCAAGAAUGGCAUUGCAGGGUCAAGUCUUCCGCCACCCCCGAUAAAGCAUAACAUGGAUAUUGGAACUUGGGAUAACAAGGGUCCUGUUGCAAAAGCCCCCUCACAGGCUUUGGUUCAGAAUAUAGGUCAGCCAACCCAGGGGUCUCCUCAGCCUGUAGGUCAGCAGGCUAACAAUAGCCCACCAGUGGCUCAGGCAUCAGUAGGGCAACAGACACAGCCAUUGCCUCCACCUCCACCACAGCCUGCCCAGCUUUCAGUCCAGCAACAGGCAGCUCAGCCAACCCGCUGGGUAGCACCUCGGAACCGUGGCAGUGGGUUCGGUCAUAAUGGGGUGGAUGGUAAUGGAGUAGGACAGUCUCAGGCUGGUUCUGGAUCUACUCCUUCAGAACCCCACCCAGUGUUGGAGAAGCUUCGGUCCAUUAAUAACUAUAACCCCAAAGAUUUUGACUGGAAUCUGAAACAUGGCCGGGUUUUCAUCAUUAAGAGCUACUCUGAGGACGAUAUUCACCGUUCCAUUAAGUAUAAUAUUUGGUGCAGCACAGAGCAUGGUAACAAGAGACUGGAUGCUGCUUAUCGUUCCAUGAACGGGAAAGGCCCCGUUUACUUACUUUUCAGUGUCAACGGCAGUGGACACUUCUGUGGCGUGGCAGAAAUGAAAUCUGCUGUGGACUACAACACAUGUGCAGGUGUGUGGUCCCAGGACAAAUGGAAGGGUCGUUUUGAUGUCAGGUGGAUUUUUGUGAAGGACGUUCCCAAUAGCCAACUGCGACACAUUCGCCUAGAGAACAACGAGAAUAAACCAGUGACCAACUCUAGGGACACUCAGGAAGUGCCUCUGGAAAAGGCUAAGCAGGUGUUGAAAAUUAUAGCCAGCUACAAGCACACCACUUCCAUUUUUGAUGACUUCUCACACUAUGAGAAACGCCAAGAGGAAGAAGAAAGUGUUAAAAAGGAACGUCAAGGUCGUGGGAAAUAAAAGGCAGUUCUACACAGACUGCAGCAACGGUUGCAUCUGCAUAUCCUAAGAGGAAAAAAUGACCUUCAAGAGAAUUAGGACUUUUUUCUUAAUUUCACUGACUUCAGAGACGAUUGCAGACUUGCAGUUUAAGUAUUGGAAUUUCACAAAAGACAUAGGACUUAACUGGAAAA